RNAcentral lists this unclassified non-coding RNA (269 nucleotides) under Rickettsia massiliae. Lineage: Bacteria; Pseudomonadati; Pseudomonadota; Alphaproteobacteria; Rickettsiales; Rickettsiaceae. The record is from RNAcentral. RNAcentral also lists the same sequence under 1 other name.
CUGUGAGAUUACAUAUGCAUAUAGUGUUAAUGUUAUAAGAGUGUAGUAUCAACUCACAAAGUUAUCAGGUUAAAUAGCUUUAUCAACUAAUAAAAAUGUUAUUGCAUCACUAAUGUUAUACUGUAGCCCCGCCACGAUAUCUAGAAAAAUUAUUUUGCUGAGUAUCGUAGUAAAAGCUAAGAUAUGAUGUUAAGAAUUUUUUUGAGUCGUGCAACAACAUUAACAGCAAACUAUAAUACAAAUCUAUCUUUUUAAAAGUUUGUAUUGCU